GGCGAGUUGAGGCCGACGGCCUCAAAGGCGCGCGUCCACAGCGUGCUGUCGAGACGCCGCGGGGCCAUAAAGAGACACGGCACGCCGUGGACAGACACGACACAGAGGUCGGCCGCAAAGAGUUGCGACAGACGCGGGACAUAGCCGUCGCGCGCCAACGAGGCACAGCCGGCCGAUACGCCCUCGGCGCCCGGCAUGUAGGCAACGAUCGAGGCGUCGACAAAGGCCCGCAGGCGCUUCCAAAAGGCCGGGUCAUUGACCGGCAGGAGAGACACCACAUCACGUGCCGGUGGCGGCUCACUCUCGGUCCACCCGGCGAGCCGCAAGAGGUCGCGCGGGCUGAUCGACCUCACACGGUGGAUGGCACGGUCGCCCUGUCGGGCGAGAUCAGGCGGCACGGCAAAGGUGCCCGGCUCGAGAUUGGCCAGGCGCACCGUGUGCGGCUCACGUGCGAGUCCCGGUCCCGUCGCCGCCAAGAGCCGACCGCCAAAAAGGGCCUCUGGCACGCCAGACUCGCACAGCCGAUCCGUGGGCAUGACCAACCACGAUGUGAGGUCGCGCGUCGAGGCCGUCUCCAUGGUGAUGCCGGCGGCGGCCAAGACUGGCGAUGUGCGCUUGGGUCCCCCCUCCCCGACAGGCGUACGACUGGCCCACGAGGCGAUUGCAGCACAUAAACUCGGGUCGGGCACCCAGGUGCGCAUGAGAGCGUCGUCGUCGGUCGACCAGGCCAUGUAGGCAUAGAGGACGGCGCGCACCAUGGCGUGCACGACCGGCACCAGACCUCUGACGCCGAGCACGGUCGCCACAAAGGCAUAGUAGGCCGCCGAGACCGUGAUCGUGUUGCCGUGUCGGUGAUCAACCACCGACACGCGCGCGCGCGUCCAUGCCUCGCGCACGAUGGGAUUGUCGGUGACGGCACAGGAGAGCAUCGCGGCAGCAGGAUCGUCAAUGGCCAUGCCUUCCACGGCGCGCGUCAACGAAUUGAUUUCGUAUUGUGGCGGCAAUGGCGAUGCCGUCGAUUGCGCCAACAUCACGCACGAGUCUGGAUUUGCAGACCAUUCACAUUGGAUCGCUUCCAAAUAGGGGCUCGCCAGAUAUCGGGCGGCAGGGACAGUCUCACCGGGCGCCGCUGACGCUGCAGACAAGGGCAUGGACGGGGGAGGUGGUGACGGUGGUCUGCUUGCUUGCUCCAACAACACGGGCACGGGCGAACCAAGUUGGGGCGACGAUGGAGACGUCGAAACCAUGGAAAAGUGAGCAGACGAGGUCAUCGAGUGUGGCAACAGCGCGGUUUGAUGUAUGGGGAGAAAUACAAGGGCAGGCGCGCCAAAGGAAGGAAGGGUGGCGGCCCAUCGUAGCAAC
RNAcentral lists this long non-coding RNA (1362 nucleotides) under Pandoravirus celtis. Its description in RNAcentral is "hypothetical ncRNA". The record is from RNAcentral.